CUUUAUUGUCGAUCAGGAGAGUGAUCUAGCCUUCCCUCAGCCCCCUAACUUCUUCAAGAUCCUGUAUAGAAAUACACAAAUGAGUACUUGAAUCAGAAUCUAGAAUCCAACUAGAAAAAGAGAAAAUCGUUAGAUUAGUUUCAAUUAUGAGUAAGUCAGACAUACUUUCAGAAGGCCCAUCCUUCUUCUUGUUCUUCACAGUCGUCAAGU
RNAcentral lists this long non-coding RNA (210 nucleotides) under Elaeis guineensis (African oil palm). RNAcentral's name for it is "long non-coding RNA (EGUI_LNC054886)". Lineage: Eukaryota; Viridiplantae; Streptophyta; Magnoliopsida; Arecales; Arecaceae. The record is from RNAcentral.